GAUGAACGCUGGCGGCGUGCCUAAUACAUGCAAGUCGAGCGAACUGAUUAGAAGCUUGCUUCUAUGACGUUAGCGGCGGACGGGUGAGUAACACGUGGGCAACCUGCCUGUAAGACUGGGAUAACUUCGGGAAACCGAAGCUAAUACCGGAUAGGACCUUCUCCUUCAUGGGAGAUGAUUGAAAGAUGGUUUCGGCUAUCACUUACAGAUGGGCCCGCGGUGCAUUAGCUAGUUGGUGAGGUAACGGCUCACCAAGGCAACGAUGCAUAGCCGACCUGAGAGGGUGAUCGGCCAAACUGGGACUGAGACACGGCCCAGACUCCUACGGGAGGCAGCAGUAGGGAAUCUUCCGCAAUGGACGAAAGUCUGACGGAGCAACGCCGCGUGAGUGAUGAAGGCUUUCGGGUCGUAAAACUCUGUUGUUAGGGAAGAACAAGUACAAGAGUAACUGCUUGUACCUUGACGGUACCUAACCAGAAAGCCACGGCUAACUACGUGCCAGCCGCCGCCGUAA
RNAcentral lists this ribosomal RNA (514 nucleotides) under uncultured bacterium. RNAcentral describes it as "partial 16S ribosomal RNA". It matches the Rfam family "Bacterial small subunit ribosomal RNA", at positions 28 to 523 of the family's 1533-position model. The record is from RNAcentral.